GUGGGUGUAAUUUAAACAAAAUAUAAGGUUGUGAUCCUUACAAUAGAGGUUAAAACCCUCUUACCCACA
Molecule: transfer RNA, 69 nt
Filed under: Nothobranchius ocellatus
Lineage: Eukaryota; Metazoa; Chordata; Actinopteri; Cyprinodontiformes; Nothobranchiidae
Description: tRNA-His
Rfam family: tRNA
About the family: Transfer RNA (tRNA) molecules are approximately 80 nucleotides in length. Their secondary structure includes four short double-helical elements and three loops (D, anti-codon, and T loops).
Source: RNAcentral